This is an RNA transcript of Xiphophorus hellerii (green swordtail), 2542 nucleotides long. It is a transcript of the gene named coiled-coil-helix-coiled-coil-helix domain containing 7, with no coding region annotated. The transcript has 7 exons. The record is from RefSeq and is a predicted model, not a curated record. NCBI's taxonomy places the organism in Eukaryota, Metazoa, Chordata, Actinopteri, Cyprinodontiformes, Poeciliidae.
CUUUGGCGGAGUUUCCUGAUACGCUGUAGCAGGCGUCAGUGCAUUUGGAAGCACGAGUUUGCUAGUUGUUUGUAGCUUUCUGGAGCAGGACGUCAUAUGAUUUAAUUUGGAGAGGAUUUAGCAGAUAGUAGGGCUACAGCAGUGUGAUACCAGCUGAGUCAGUCACUCCGGUUUGUUUCAUAACUGAGCCAUGAUCUUCAGCCGUGUGGGUCCACAGCGGUUCCUAUAGUCUUCCCAGCGUCGUAUUGUAGGUGUCCUUGGUAAAGAUCUAAAUGGAUAAAACGUCCCGAAAAAUUUCGAACCAGGACAUAAACCCCUGUUUAGAAGAAAGUGAUGCCUCUCACAAGUGUUUGGACACCUACAACUAUGAUAGGAGCAAGUGCUCAGCUUACUUCCAGAGAUAUAAGAACUGCAGAAAAUAUUGGUGUUGUUGCUGUUCAUUGACCUUCUGAUGGAUGUUUAUGUUGAUCUCUGCCUUUCAUUUGGACUUCCUGUGUGGCUAGCAUCUCUUCUGCACACUGCUGAACGCCUCAGAAGUGACCGUGCUCGACGCAAGAAGGUCUACCGUCUCCUGCAGAGGAAACUAAUCUUUCAUGGUGUUGGUGUUAACCAGGAGAACCACUUCCAGCCCACCUAUGUUUACCCAGAAGAAGUGAAAGUUUUAAUGCGCUCUGUUUUUCCAAAAGACAUCUGUGACUACCCCAACCCUAAGCACAAUCAUGUGGUGCACAUUACUAUGGAGGAGCUCCACAGCAUACAAAACAACUGACAACGUUUUUGCCUUUUCUCCUAAUAUUAUGUUUCUCUGAAUGAGAAGAAAUGCUUGUUUCUAUGGGAGAAGCACUGUUAGUUACUUCAAGGUUUUCUUCUUGGCAUGUUUUGAUGUAUUUAACCGUACUACUUUUUAGUUAAACAUAAAGAACAUAACAUAAUCAGUAUCACUAAGUGCUUUAUGUUUCACCUUUAGCUAUUUCUUUUUCUAAAAGAUUCCUUCUAUUUGUAUUUGAAAUCAAUAAAAAGAUUUCCCUGUAAAAAUCAUCUUACAGUUUUGAAACAUUAGCAUAUAUUCACCUACAUGAGGAGCAGCUUAAUAUAGGUAUAUAGUUGAACCAGGCUUUCGUAGCUCCUGGUCGUGCACCUGUGAAUUUUUAUAACUCGCCACCGUGGCAUUUAUACAUACUGUCUAUAAGGACUCGGCUGCAACGUACACGUUAACUAUGAAUGCCGUACUGCUGUCUUGGUUGGCAAGCGCUCAACAUUAUUGAUAACUUUCAAAAGCGUGACUAGAACUCAGUCUUUAUAGCCGUGUCCCCGGGUUUCUUGCAUGCGACUACAAACAGUGAAAAAAACCUUGGCUUCUUAUAGGUCACUGCUUUAAAAAGUACAUGUAGUGCACAGAGACCUGAUAGAACAGAACACCUUGAUGUUGAGUACUGGCAUCAAUGGGACUUUCCUCUACUUCCAUUUGUGAAUGGGGGAAAUCAUCUUACAGGGAAAUUAAUAUGAGUUAGUUGAACUCAUAUUGGUUCAACUAAUAUGAACCAAUAUGAGCUUGGUUCAUAUCAGUUGAACCAAGAUCUUCUAAUAUGAGCUUCUCAUAUUAGUUGCUGUUUGUGGGGAAGGUUUCAAGAUGUCAAGGAAUGGCACCACCCAAAGGAUGUGUCCGGUUCUUAGCACUUUGCUACAGAAUCAUGUUACCGUCAGUGCAUCACUUACUUAUUAAUGCUUGCAGGAGCGCCUGCAGCUGUAUGGCAGUACAAACUAAGAUUUUCCUCAGAGUAAAAAAAGUAUGACAGUUAUUGUUAUGAUGCUCUUCCUCAGCAUCAUGCAAGACUGGGAGAGUUAAGCAGUUAAAUCUAGUCAAAACGUUUGUCAUAAAGAAUUGAAAUGAAGCAAAUGUCGCUUCAAGUCAUCCUCUGGAAAUAUCAGAUAAAACACCUGAGCCUUGGAAUCAGCGUCCUCCUCCUCACAUGGGUAGGCUUUGCUUUCCUGUCUUUAUUAUUUAGUAUAAUUUGUUAAAACUUGUAAAAAAAAGAAAAAGAAAACAAGUUAUGUAGGCAUAGCAUAAGUUUGUGUGUGUGCUGCAUUGUGUGUGACAGUUGGGCCUUGUGUGGAUCAGAUCUGAAAUGCAUUGCGUUUGUGUGACAUAUCAGUGUGGGUUAGGUUUGUGCGGUUUAUGCAUGUUGAGGAUGUGGCUGUGUUUGUGUGGAUCAGGUGCAAUGAUAGUUUUGUGCGUACCCUCCACUAAUAUCCUGCAGGCGCCCCUGAACGCUAGUAGAUAUAAGUCCUCUUGAACUGACUGAUUACAAAUUCUGUACAUUUUUCUCAGGAGCGAAUUUUGAGCAAUAUGCUCUGAAAAUAGAAAAUGCACAAACUAAGUGUUUUGAAAAAGUUUAGUUAAAAUCUAAGAUAUUUUUUCUUUUCUAGUGGUAUGGCACUACUUUUGUUGGAGAGAACAGGAAGUUUAAAGUUUGAGAUCCACUAGAAUGUCCACCUGUGUUCCUGGAAAAGUCAGAUAUUUAAUAAAAACCUGUUAUAAAUC